CAGUCGCCACGGGAAUACGAAGGGUGCAAGCGUUACUCGGAAUUACUGGGCGUAAAGCGUGCGUAGGUGGUGGUUUAAGUCCGUUGUGAAAGCCCUGGGCUCAACCUGGGAAUUGCAGUGGAUACUGGGUCACUAGAGUGUGGUAGAGGAUAGUGGAAUUUCCGGUGUAGCAGUGAAAUGCGUAGAGAUCGGAAGGAACAUCUGUGGCGAAGGCGACUAUCUGGGCCAACACUGACACUGAGGCACGAAAGCGUGGGGAGCAAACAGGAUUAGAGACCCGUGUAGUCCCUGUCUCUUAUAC
This 301-nucleotide ribosomal RNA is filed under the name uncultured bacterium. RNAcentral describes it as "partial 16S ribosomal RNA". It matches the Rfam family "Bacterial small subunit ribosomal RNA", at positions 509 to 807 of the family's 1533-position model. The record is from RNAcentral.